Non-coding RNA from Vicugna pacos (alpaca), 671 nucleotides. The record is from RefSeq and is a predicted model, not a curated record. NCBI's taxonomy places the organism in Eukaryota, Metazoa, Chordata, Mammalia, Artiodactyla, Camelidae.
UUAAUGUGCUUUAGGCACAAGCAGCACUUCAAGAAAACGUGUUAAGAGAGUGUAAACGUGCUUCAGUCAGUCAAACGGAACAGAGAGUUAAAGAUCUGGAAAUUGAACUAAAAACUGAUUCUAAUGAAAACAGAUUGGAAAAGUACAAGCAACUGUACCUGGAAGAGCUAGAAAAUAGAAAGUCUUUGGCAAGUCAGCUAACCUCGGCUAAUGAGAGGCUGGCCGAGGUGAGCUCUAAGCUUCAGCUGGGGAGACAGCACAAGAGCUCUUUCCCGGGCUUUGCUCCUACAAGGCCUGUUGGCGGACCGCCUUCUGCUGCUGGUACUAGCGCGGAGACUAAAAGGAGUCUUACUCGAAGAGGGUGCUUCAGGACUGUUCCAGACCCUUCAACUAACUAGAGCGAUCCCUUGUUCCGGAUGCUGAAGAAGUUGGAGAAUAAUACAGAUAGAGAAUUAAAAGAAGGUAUGUUGCCAACAUUUCUGAAUUAAAUUUAGGCAUUGAUUUCCGAAAUACACUGUAAAGAGUAAAUGACACCUCAUUCUAUUGUUUGAAUAACAGAUACUAUGUUAAAUUUUUUUCUUACACAUAUCUAAUGAAAAAUGUGAAAGCAUAAUUUCAUUCAUAAUGAUAAGUGUACUUAUUCCUCAUUUAUUCAUCACGAUCCAUAGCUU